GGUUCAUUCAAAUUUCUGCCCUAUCAACUUUCGAUGGUAGGAUAGUGGCCUACCAUGGUGGCAACGGGUAACGGGGAAUUAGGGUUCGAUUCCGGAGAGGGAGCCUGAGAAACGGCUACCACAUCCAAGGAAGGCAGCAGGCGCGCAAAUUACCCAAUCCCGACCGGGGAGGUAGUGACAAUAAAUACUGAUACAGGGCUCUUUUGAGUCUUGUAAUUGGAAUGAGUACAAUUUAAAUCCCUUAACGAGGAACAAUUGGAGGGCAAGUCUGGUGCCGGCAGCCGCGGUAAUUCCAGCUCCAAUAGCGUAUAUUAAAGUUGUUGCAGUUAAAAAGCUCGUAGUUG
RNAcentral lists this ribosomal RNA (344 nucleotides) under uncultured fungus. RNAcentral's name for it is "SSU rRNA". It matches the Rfam family "Eukaryotic small subunit ribosomal RNA", at positions 292 to 636 of the family's 1831-position model. The record is from RNAcentral. Lineage: Eukaryota; Fungi.